AACUAAUAAUUAUAAUUAAGAGGACAAGUCAACUCCUUAUUCACAUCCCCCCUCAAAUUGAUGCUGCUGGUCAAUGAGCAUCAAUUUGCUAACAAGAAACUGAUGGCGUGGACGCGGAACAGCUUUGAUAAGAAUAUCUGCAACUUGGAACUGAGUACUGACAUGAGGAAGUGCUAUAAGUCUGUCGUCAUAGGCAUCACGAAUGGAAUGAC
Molecule: long non-coding RNA, 212 nt
Filed under: Trifolium pratense (red clover)
Lineage: Eukaryota; Viridiplantae; Streptophyta; Magnoliopsida; Fabales; Fabaceae
Description: long non-coding RNA (TPRA_LNC011622)
Source: RNAcentral